GAUGAAGAACGUAGCGAAAUGCGAUAAGUAAUGUGAAUUGCAGAAUUCAGUGAAUCAUCGAAUCUUUGAACGCACAUUGCGCCCGCCAGUAUUCUGGCGGGCAUGCCUGUUCGAGCGUCAUUACAACCCUCAGGCCCCCGGGCCUGGCGUUGGGGAUCGGCGGAGCCCCCCGUGGGCACGCGCCGUCCCCCAAAUACAGUGGCGGUCCCGCCGCAGCUUCCAUCGCGUAGUAGCUAACACCUCGCGACUGGAGAGCGGCGCGGCCACGCCGUAAAACACCCAACUCUUCUGAAGUUGACCUCGAAUCAGGUAGGAAUACCCGCUGAACUUAAGCAUAUCAAUAAGCGGAGGA
This 352-nucleotide unclassified non-coding RNA is filed under the name soil metagenome. Its description in RNAcentral is "partial contains 5.8S ribosomal RNA, internal transcribed spacer 2, and large subunit ribosomal RNA". The stretch from base 1 to 120 matches the Rfam family "5.8S ribosomal RNA", at positions 35 to 154 of the family's 154-position model. The record is from RNAcentral.